RNAcentral lists this ribosomal RNA (253 nucleotides) under uncultured bacterium. Its description in RNAcentral is "partial 16S ribosomal RNA". It matches the Rfam family "Bacterial small subunit ribosomal RNA", at positions 524 to 776 of the family's 1533-position model. The record is from RNAcentral.
UACGUAGGGUGCGAGCGUUGUCCGGAAUUAUUGGGCGUAAAGGGCUCGUAGGCGGUUUGUCGCGUCGGGAGUGAAAACUCAGGGCUUAACCCUGAGCCUGCCUCCGAUACGGGCAGACUAGAGGUAUGCAGGGGAGAACGGAAUUCCUGGUGUAGCGGUGAAAUGCGCAGAUAUCAGGAGGAACACCGGUGGCGAAGGCGGUUCUCUGGGCAUUACCUGACGCUGAGGAGCGAAAGUGUGGGGAGCGAACAGG